RNAcentral lists this unclassified non-coding RNA (378 nucleotides) under Hevea brasiliensis (rubber tree). Lineage: Eukaryota; Viridiplantae; Streptophyta; Magnoliopsida; Malpighiales; Euphorbiaceae. The record is from RNAcentral.
UUUUAGUAAAACAAUUCAUAUGGAUAUGAAUUCAUUCACAUAAUCUUUGAAUGGUUUAUAAAUAAUUUUAAUCGGUUACACAACAGAUAUACUCCCAAGGCCAAAAAAAAUGUUGCCACUCUCCCUUGUUUUGAAUUUCAAACCAUUAAGGACUUUAUCACAACGUGGGAGUGACUGAAUUUACAAAACAAAAAGAGAGUAAUGUUCAAGCUUGAAUAUAUCUUGGAGAGCAAAGCAUGAUUGCUACAAAUUAGACAGAGAAUUACUUGGUUGCUUUGAUUGAACUCCAGCUCCAAUUGUUGAAGAUUGAUUAACCCAAGAAGAGAUUAAGUGGUGAGCAAUUGCAAAGGGGCCAGGGAAAAACAUUGGAGCAAGCUC